AGACCCCGCCUCCCGACCACGGGCCAAUCCCAGCCCAGCAGCACCCCCGGACCGCACGCCGACCCCGCCUCCCGGACUUCGCACCGCGGCCCCGGCCCCCGCCAGCCGCCCAGUGCAGACGCCUUCCGGCCACCACCGCCCUUGGCACCCUCUCCCCACAGGACGGCCCUGCACACCCUGGGGCUGCGGGAUCCAACCGCAGGAUAGGCUGGAAAGCGCAGCAGAAUGGUUUUCCCGGCUCACACUUGCUCCCAUGAGCCAGGACCCCCUACUUUUCUUUUUUCUUUCUUUUUCUUUUCUUUUCUUUUUUUUUUUUUUUUUGAGACAGGGUCUCGCCCUGUCGCCCAGACUAGAGUGCAGUGGCGCGAUCUCGGCUCGCUACAACCUCCGCCUCCCUGGUUCAAGCGAUUCUCCUGCCUUGAGCCACCUCAAGGUGGCUCCCGGCCUGCCCCUACCUAUGUUUGUAUUGGAAACAAGGUUUACAAGUAGUACAAUG
Molecule: long non-coding RNA, 496 nt
Filed under: Homo sapiens (human)
Lineage: Eukaryota; Metazoa; Chordata; Mammalia; Primates; Hominidae
Description: HSALNT0236698
Source: RNAcentral